GGAGAGGUGGCUCAGUGGUUAAGAGCACUGGCUACCCUUCCAGAGGAACUGGGUCCAAUUCCCAGCACCUACA
This is a non-coding RNA of Mesocricetus auratus (golden hamster), 73 nucleotides long. Lineage: Eukaryota; Metazoa; Chordata; Mammalia; Rodentia; Cricetidae. The record is from Rfam.